GUCUCUGUCGAUUAGUGGUUAAAUCGCCACGUUGUGGUUUUCUAAAUCUCGUCUUGCCCGUGGCGCCGUGUGUUCGAUUCACACCAGAGACA
This is a non-coding RNA of Phellopilus nigrolimitatus, 92 nucleotides long. Lineage: Eukaryota; Fungi; Basidiomycota; Agaricomycetes; Hymenochaetales; Hymenochaetaceae. The record is from the annotation of a GenBank genome assembly.